Molecule: ribosomal RNA, 425 nt
Filed under: uncultured bacterium
Lineage: Bacteria
Description: partial 16S ribosomal RNA
Rfam family: Bacterial small subunit ribosomal RNA
Source: RNAcentral
GUGGGGAAUCUUAGACAAUGGGCGCAAGCCUGAUCUAGCCAUGCCGCGUGAGCGAUGAAGGCCUUAGGGUUGUAAAGCUCUUUCGUGGGGGAAGAUAAUGACUGUACCCCAAGAAGAAGCCCCGGCUAACUCUGUGCCAGCAGCCGCGGUAAUACAGAGGUCUCAAGCGUUGUUCGGAAUUAUUGGGCGUAAAGGGCGCGUAGGCGGGAAGGUGUGUCGACCUGUAAAUCUAUCGUUUCAAGCGGUAGGCUUGGGUUGAAACUGCCUUUCUAGAGGAUUUCAGGGGAGUUUGGAAUUUACGGUGUAGCAGUGAAAUGCGUGGAUAUCGUAAGGAAGGCUUGUGGCGAAGGCGAAACUCUGGGGAAUACCUGACGCUGAGGCGCGAAGGCUAGGUUAGCAAACGGGAUUAGAUACCCUAGUAGUCC